UACGAACUGUGCAAACGUUAUUCGGAUUCACUGGGCUUAAAGGGUGCGUAGGCGGCUUGCCAAGUAGGGUGUGAAAGCCCCCGGCUUAACCGGGGAAUUGCGCCCUAAACUGGCGAGCUGGAGUGAGAUAGGGGUGUGGUGGAACUUCCGGUGGAGCGGUGAAAUGUGUUGAUAUCGGAAGGAACGCCGGCGGCGAAAGCGACACACUGGGUCUCAACUGACGCUGAGGCACGAAAGCCAGGGGAGGCGAACGGG
RNAcentral lists this ribosomal RNA (255 nucleotides) under uncultured bacterium. RNAcentral's name for it is "partial 16S ribosomal RNA". It matches the Rfam family "Bacterial small subunit ribosomal RNA", at positions 524 to 776 of the family's 1533-position model. The record is from RNAcentral.